RNAcentral lists this ribosomal RNA (722 nucleotides) under Porticoccus sp. RNAcentral describes it as "bacterial SSU rRNA". It matches the Rfam family "Bacterial small subunit ribosomal RNA", at positions 27 to 745 of the family's 1533-position model. Lineage: Bacteria; Pseudomonadati; Pseudomonadota; Gammaproteobacteria; Cellvibrionales; Porticoccaceae. The record is from RNAcentral.
GAUUGAACGCUGGCGGCAGGCCUAACACAUGCAAGUCGAGCGUGAAAGUUCCUUCGGGAGCGAGUAGAGCGGCGGACGGGUGAGUAACGCGUAGGAAUCUGCCCAGUAGUGGGGGACAACUCGAGGAAACUCGAGCUAAUACCGCAUACGCCCUAAGGGGGAAAGCAGGGGAUCUUCGGACCUUGUGCUAUUGGAUGAGCCUGCGUCGGAUUAGCUAGUUGGUGGGGUAAUGGCCUACCAAGGCAACGAUCCGUAGCUGGUCUGAGAGGAUGAUCAGCCACACUGGGACUGAGACACGGCCCAGACUCCUACGGGAGGCAGCAGUGGGGAAUAUUGGACAAUGGGGGCAACCCUGAUCCAGCCAUGCCGCGUGUGUGAAGAAGGCCUUCGGGUUGUAAAGCACUUUCAGCAGGGAGGAAAAGCUAAUGGCUAAUAACCAUUAGCCCUGACGUUACCUGCAGAAGAAGCACCGGCAAACUCCGUGCCAGCAGCCGCGGUAAUACGGAGGGUGCGAGCGUUAAUCGGAAUUACUGGGCGUAAAGCGCGCGUAGGCGGUUUGAUUAGCUGGAUGUGAAAGCCCCGGGCUCAACCUGGGAAUUGCAUCCAGAACUGUCAGACUAGAGUACAGUAGAGGUGAGUGGAAUUUCCUGUGUAGCGGUGAAAUGCGUAGAUAUAGGAAGGAACAUCAGUGGCGAAGGCGGCUCACUGGACUGAUACUGACG